This 1252-nucleotide long non-coding RNA is filed under the name Lytechinus variegatus (green sea urchin). RNAcentral describes it as "uncharacterized LOC121417126". Lineage: Eukaryota; Metazoa; Echinodermata; Echinoidea; Temnopleuroida; Toxopneustidae. The record is from RNAcentral.
AAUUCACAAAGGUGGAUUCUGCAAAAUCCACGGAUUAAUCCACGGAUUUUGUUGAGUCCACAGUCCACGGAUUCGCUUUUGUGAUUCACAAAGGUGGACUCGACCGAAUCCACGGAUUCUACCAAGUCUAUUACGUCACGAUUUCGAGUCAACUGUUUGGGGUGGUCUGAAACAGUGGACUCCACAGAAUCCGUGGAUUCUCCACAGAAUCCGUGGAUUCUAGGCGUAAUUGGCCAAUCACAGCGCAGCAUUUGGGUAUAAGCUUUGUGCAGACAACAACCGCUGGACGAUAAUUUUGCAGCAAAAUUUAAGGUGGAAGACUGGACGUGAAAGUGGUGGAAAAAAUACAUGCUGGACCGAGCUCCGAGAAAAUUAACAAAAAAUGGCAGAAAAUCACCGUGCUCAUUUAAUGCAUCUUGAUCGUGUCAACAGCCUCAGAGAGAUAGCCAACAGGCCCAGACCCUGAUGGGAUUACAGAAAUGAAUGAAUCCUUUUGAGUUGUACAUGGAUAAAGCCUUUCGAAUGCGGUAUCGCUUCUCAAAAGAGACUGCACUCCAUCUCAUCAACAUGUGUGAGGGUGAUCUGAGCUGAGGAGGAAUACAGAAUGUAGUGAACCUCUACCUGUUGUCAUAGGUGUCAUCGAUGGGACUCAUGUCUACAUUAGGAGUCCUGGUGGGGAACAAGCCCUGUACUUCCUUAAUCGGAAGAACAGGUAUUCCGUCAGUGUGCAGAUUGCAUUUUUAAUAUAAAUGUAGACUCUGUUAUGCCAGUCUGAACUUUUGGGGAAGGGUCGAUAAUGUGACUUGUACUCCUAUCAUCAUUCCAAUGUCACUAAAGUAUAAUAGCGGUCAUUGACUAUUUUUAAGCAUUGAAAUUUAGAUUGUUUUAUUUAGCACCCUCUCUUUGUAAUGUACUGUACAGUACUUAUUUGUCCUUUAACCCUUUAUAGCCCGGGGGGCCUAAAAGGCCCCUCCUCGACAUAUUUCACGAUAAUUUCUAAAUGCAAAAAAAUAAUACGCUGAAAUUUCAUGACUUUUUUCUUUUACAUCUCCGGCACAUUUUGAGACCGUUUGUGAAAAUCGGGGGUACACUUGCAGAGAUAUAGCACAUAUUCGUAACCAAUGUCACCGAAAAUGGCAAUUUCCAUUGACUUUUGUGUGUACAAUGUAUGGGUUUUACAAUAAGUGUUGUCAGAUGAAUGUUUUUUUCUGUUUUUCCUCACAUGAGUUUCUUUUGGGCUAUCACCAACUAU